RNAcentral lists this ribosomal RNA (433 nucleotides) under uncultured bacterium. Its description in RNAcentral is "partial 16S ribosomal RNA". It matches the Rfam family "Bacterial small subunit ribosomal RNA", at positions 29 to 507 of the family's 1533-position model. The record is from RNAcentral.
AGCGAACGCUGGCGGCAGGCCUAACACAUGCAAGUCGAACGAACUCUUCGGAGUUAGUGGCGGACGGGUGAGUAACACGUGGGAACGUGCCUUUUGGUUCGGAAUAACUCAGGGAAACUUGUGCUAAUACCGAAUGUGCCCUUCGGGGGAAAGAUUUAUCGCCAUUAGAGCGGCCCGCGUCUGAUUAGCUAGUUGGUGAGGUAACGGCUCACCAAGGCGACGAUCAGUAGCUGGUCUGAGAGGAUGACCAGCCACACUGGGACUGAGACACGGCCCAGACUCCUACGGGAGGCAGCAGUGGGGAAUCUUGCGCAAUGGGCGAAAGCCUGACGCAGCCAUGCCGCGUGAAUGAUGAAGGUCUUAGGAUUGUAAAAUUCUUUCACCGGGGACGAUAGUGACGGUACCCGGAGAAGAAGCCCCGGCUAACUUCGUG